RNAcentral lists this ribosomal RNA (207 nucleotides) under uncultured bacterium. RNAcentral's name for it is "partial 16S ribosomal RNA". It matches the Rfam family "Bacterial small subunit ribosomal RNA", at positions 568 to 774 of the family's 1533-position model. The record is from RNAcentral.
CGUGUAGGCGGCCAAGCAAGUCAGAGGUGAAAGCCCUGGGCUCAACCUGGGAACUGCCUUUGAAACUGUUUGGCUUGAGACCGGAAGAGGGUGGCGGAAUUCCCAGUGUAGAGGUGAAAUUCGUAGAUAUUGGGAAGAACACCGGUGGCGAAGGCGGCCAUCUGGUCCGGUUCUGACGCUGAGGCGCGAAAGCGUGGGGAGCAAACA